RNAcentral lists this ribosomal RNA (301 nucleotides) under uncultured bacterium. RNAcentral describes it as "partial 16S ribosomal RNA". It matches the Rfam family "Bacterial small subunit ribosomal RNA", at positions 509 to 807 of the family's 1533-position model. The record is from RNAcentral.
CAGCAGCCGCGGGAAUACAGAGGGUGCGAGCGUUAAUCGGAUUUACUGGGCGUAAAGCGUGCGUAGGCGGCUUCUUAAGUCGGAUGUGAAAUCCCUGAGCUUAACUUAGGAAUUGCAUUCGAUACUGGGAAGCUAGAGUAUGGGAGAGGAUGGUAGAAUUCCAGGUGUAGCGGUGAAAUGCGUAGAGAUCUGGAGGAAUACCGAUGGCGAAGGCAGCCAUCUGGCCUAAUACUGACGCUGAGGUACGAAAGCAUGGGGAGCAAACAGGAUUAGAUACCCGAGUAGUCCCUGUAUCUUAUAC